GAUGAACGCUGGCGGCGUGCCUAAUACAUGCAAGUCGAGCGAACAGAUGAGGAGCUUGCUCCUCUGACGUUAGCGGCGGACGGGUGAGUAACACGUGGAUAACCUACCUAUAAGACUGGGAUAACUUCGGGAAACCGGAGCUAAUACCGGAUAAUAUAUUGAACCGCAUGGUUCAAUAGUGAAAGACGGUUUUGCUGUCACUUAUAGAUGGAUCCGCGCCGCAUUAGCUAGUUGGUAAGGUAACGGCUUAUCAAGGCAACGAUGCGUAGCCGACCUGAGAGGGGGAUCGGCCGCACUGGAACUGAGACACGGUCCAGGCUCCUACGGGAGGCAGCAGUAGGGAAUCUGCCGCAAUGGGCGAAAGCCUGACGGAGCAACGCCGCGUGAGUGAUGAAGGUCUUCGGAUCGUAAAACUCUGUUAUUAGGGAAGAACAAAUGUGUAAGUAACUAUGCACGUCUUGACGGUACCUAAUCAGAAAGCCACGGCUAACUACGUG
RNAcentral lists this ribosomal RNA (497 nucleotides) under uncultured bacterium. Its description in RNAcentral is "partial 16S ribosomal RNA". It matches the Rfam family "Bacterial small subunit ribosomal RNA", at positions 28 to 507 of the family's 1533-position model. The record is from RNAcentral.